This 320-nucleotide unclassified non-coding RNA is filed under the name plant metagenome. Its description in RNAcentral is "partial contains 5.8S ribosomal RNA, internal transcribed spacer 2, and large subunit ribosomal RNA". The stretch from base 1 to 105 matches the Rfam family "5.8S ribosomal RNA", at positions 50 to 154 of the family's 154-position model. The record is from RNAcentral.
GAAAUGCGAUAAGUAAUGUGAAUUGCAGAAUUCAGUGAAUCAUCGAAUCUUUGAACGCACAUUGCGCCCGCCAGUAUUCUGGCGGGCAUGCCUGUUCGAGCGUCAUUACAACCCUCAGGCCCCCGGGCCUGGCGUUGGGGAUCGGCGGAAGCCCCCUGCGGGCACAACGCCGUCCCCCAAAUACAGUGGCGGUCCCGCCGCAGCUUCCAUUGCGUAGUAGCUAACACCUCGCAACUGGAGAGCGGCGCGGCCACGCCGUAAAACACCCAACUUCUGAAUGUUGACCUCGAAUCAGGGAGGAAUACCCGCUGAAGUGAAGC